RNAcentral lists this long non-coding RNA (965 nucleotides) under Olea europaea subsp. europaea. Lineage: Eukaryota; Viridiplantae; Streptophyta; Magnoliopsida; Lamiales; Oleaceae. The record is from RNAcentral.
CUUUUUUGCCAUUUGUGAAAUUUGCUCCUGAUUGCAUCACAGCUGCACUAUUUUUUAUCUAUAUCUUUAUUUGUAGCUUCUAGUUGCACAAGCAAAGUAAUAUGAGUUGUCCACCAUUUAGAAAAAUAUCAACUGAUGCUUUUAACUUCAUGUCUACUGAGUGCUUUUAAAUAAUGAACAAAUCUGUUAGAUUGGAAGGCCCGUGCAGAUGUUGUUAAGUUGCUGAAGAAUGUGAAGAAAGAGAUGACCUUGCUUGUUGUAAGCUAUAACCUUAAGUUCUAAUUUUGGACAUCUAUUUGUCUACUGGCUUAUUGCCAUCUUCUUCCUUUUCCUGGGGAAAAACAUAUAUCCUGCUGUAAAUAUUCAAACUUGUUUACCUCAUCUUCUUGAUAUGGAUGACUCCUUUUGUUUUAUUGAUACAUCGCACAAUUAACAACCCCUCCUUGCUGCUGUUAGCUCCUGGAGGCGCAAAAUAUAGUAUUAAAUGGGGACCCCAUUUGUUGCAAUCCCAUAACUACCAAUCAGUCUGAAAUUACUUGCUCAUGCUUCAGUACAUUUUUUUUUUCAGCCUAAUUAUGACUGUCAUUUUCGACAUGUGAAUUUCACUCGAUGUUGAUAGUUGAUCUUGAAGCAGUAUGUGCGCCUUUUGAAAAACAUGAAUUAGUUGCCCAUAUUGGAGUAUACUUUUGGAUGUUUACCUAGAUACUUAUGGGAAACACGGCUGGGGGGGAGGGGGUAUACUCUUUUCCUAAUUUUUCUUAUCAUGGGCUACUGUUUUACAGUGAAUUUUGGAUCAUGCUUUAUGGUUUACAAUGUCAAAGUUGACUGGAAAUUUACUUGAAAGACAAUAUUAUUACUUUGGUGAUUAAAUCAAUUUUCAAAUUAAGGACCGCUUUUCCAGUUUUAGAAGUGGAUCAGCCUGCUAGAAACUGUUGAAACAUCAUUGAAGAAAUGCACUUCUAAAU